This 68-nucleotide transfer RNA is filed under the name Goniurosaurus luii. Its description in RNAcentral is "tRNA-Trp". The record is from RNAcentral. Lineage: Eukaryota; Metazoa; Chordata; Lepidosauria; Squamata; Eublepharidae.
AGAAACUUAGGUUACACACCAAACCAAGAGCCUUCAAAGCCCUAAACAGAGAUCCCCUCUAGUUUCUG